This 586-nucleotide unclassified non-coding RNA is filed under the name Hevea brasiliensis (rubber tree). Lineage: Eukaryota; Viridiplantae; Streptophyta; Magnoliopsida; Malpighiales; Euphorbiaceae. The record is from RNAcentral.
CCUCCAUGUGUGCCAAAAGACCUGAAGUCAAGUUUGCAGAUAUAACAUUUUAUGUUAGCAUGAAAAUGUAGUAGUGAUUAAACACAAACUUUUGACUCGGCCAUAAAUGGGUUGCAGAAUUCAACAGCAUAAAGUUAUAUACAUGCGUUUGUAAUGAAAACGAUGCACAGCCCACAAAAAGUCCAAAUCAUUCCUAAUUGUGAAAAGCAACUGUUAAAGCAUAGACAAAAGUUGUUCAAUAGAUUAAAUCAAACAAAAGUCUCACCAAAAAUCGGAGUUGAAGAUAUGAUUCUUUGAUUAGUUAGUAGGACAAAAUUUUGAGCUAUCAUUCUGUAGGCAACCAUCUGAAACCAGUAUCAACUGCAAACUAGCUGUUUCCACACACACACCUCAGAUUUCUUAAUCAUCAUCCCUAGUUUAGAACAUCUUUGACGAAUACAUAAACUUAGUGAAGUAAUUAGUGCAAAUUCUCUUAGCAGUUCCACAUUCCAUUGCGUUAUUACAUGCCUUGUAGCAAUGCAUAUGAAAGAAGAACAUCUUAAAGCAGUUCUUAUCACCCCAUAUUUUUGUUCUCAUCUCUACCACC